GACGAACGCUGGCGGCGUGCUUAACACAUGCAAGUCGAACGGAAAGGCCUGCUUUCCCUUGUGGAUUGCGGGUACUCGAGUGGCGAACGGGUGAGUAACACGUGAGUGAUCUGCCCCCAACUUGGGUAUAAGCCUGGGAAACUGGGUCUAAUUCCCGAUAGGACUGCAGGGUGGUGCCUGUGGUGGAAAACGAUUUUCUAGUGGUUGGGGAUGAGCUCGCGGCCUAUCAGCUUGUUGGUGGGGUAAUGGCCUACCAAGGCGGCGACGGGUAGCCGGCCUGAGAGGGUGGACGGCCACAUUGGGACUGAGAUACGGCCCAGACUCCUACGGGAGGCAGCAGUGGGGAAUAUUGCACAAUAGGCGGAAGCCUGAUGCAGCGACGCCGCGUGGGGGAUGACGGCCUUCGGGUUGUAAACUCCUUUCGACCGCGAGGAAGCCACCUGGUUGGAAGGGUGGUGACGGUAGUGGUAGAAGAAGCACCGGCUAACUACGUG
This 494-nucleotide ribosomal RNA is filed under the name uncultured bacterium. RNAcentral describes it as "partial 16S ribosomal RNA". It matches the Rfam family "Bacterial small subunit ribosomal RNA", at positions 28 to 507 of the family's 1533-position model. The record is from RNAcentral.